UCAGGCAGACUGUAUGGUAUCAGAUAGCCAGACCCCACAGAGUACAGUCGGUGGCAGUGAGACCAUGGAGGUCAGCGGGGGUCACGGAGGGGAAGAGGUGCAUCCUGGAGCGGUAGAGGAGGGCGACCCGGAGGACCCUGACCUGGACUCCAAGUCUCAUGUGAGGCCAGGUUUGCUGGCCCGCCUUGUCAGUCAGGUGUUUCCAUUCUCCAUGUUCUUCAGAGAAAGCUAAGAUGCUCAGGAACAACGGCUUCUGUAACCUUCUAGAACCUCUGUUGUGAUCUGAAUGUUCAAGUUCUGUUUUAGUUUCAGGCCCAAAUGGUUACCUAUUCCGUAUAUAGUGCCCUACUUAUAAUGGUUGAUGUUAGUUCAUAGUGGAAGGCCCAAAUGGUUACCUAUUCCGUAUAUAGUGCCCUACUUAUAGUGGUUGAUGUUAGUUCAUAGUGGAAGGUUUUGGAGUUUGGUUUUGACACAUUUUGUAAUAAAUGAUCUGA
Oncorhynchus keta (chum salmon) is the source of this 494-nucleotide long non-coding RNA. RefSeq lists it as uncharacterized. NCBI's taxonomy places the organism in Eukaryota, Metazoa, Chordata, Actinopteri, Salmoniformes, Salmonidae. The record is from RefSeq and is a predicted model, not a curated record. The transcript is spliced from 3 exons.